This 218-nucleotide unclassified non-coding RNA is filed under the name Hevea brasiliensis (rubber tree). Lineage: Eukaryota; Viridiplantae; Streptophyta; Magnoliopsida; Malpighiales; Euphorbiaceae. The record is from RNAcentral.
UGUUACUGCAAGGCCGGCCAUGCCUGUAAAGAACAAACAUAUAUGAUUGGCAACAGCAUAAAUUUACAAAUUAAAAUAGUUACUUUGUUUUAUUAUUUAUAUUGUAUCAACUUCAAUCAAUUUCUACCAUAAGCUAAGCCUCGUCAGACUAAAAUAGAAAUUGAAAACAUCAACAUACUCUCUCUGCAUAUAAAGUUCCCCGAGCAAAUAAGGGUGGG